This 571-nucleotide ribosomal RNA is filed under the name Jeotgalibacillus sp. JC392. Its description in RNAcentral is "bacterial SSU rRNA". It matches the Rfam family "Bacterial small subunit ribosomal RNA", at positions 92 to 649 of the family's 1533-position model. The record is from RNAcentral. Lineage: Bacteria; Bacillati; Bacillota; Bacilli; Caryophanales; Caryophanaceae.
UUAGCGGCGGACGGGUGAGUAACACGUGGGCAAUCUGCCCGUAAGACUGGGAUAACUCCGGGAAACCGGGGCUAAUACCGGAUAAUCCCGACUCUCUCCUGAGAGUCGGUUGAAAGAUGGUUUCGGCUAUCACUUACGGAUGAGCCCGCGGCGCAUUAGCUAGUUGGUGAGGUAACGGCUCACCAAGGCGACGAUGCGUAGCCGACCUGAGAGGGUGAUCGGCCACACUGGGACUGAGACACGGCCCAGACUCCUACGGGAGGCAGCAGUAGGGAAUCUUCCGCAAUGGACGAAAGUCUGACGGAGCAACGCCGCGUGAGUGAAGAAGGUUUUCGGAUCGUAAAACUCUGUUGUUAGGGAAGAACACGUACGAGAGUAACUGCUCGUACCUUGACGGUACCUAACCAGAAAGCCACGGCUAACUACGUGCCAGCAGCCGCGGUAAUACGUAGGUGGCAAGCGUUGUCCGGAAUUAUUGGGCGUAAAGCGCGCGCAGGUGGUUCCUUAAGUCUGAUGUGAAAGCCCCCGGCUCAACCGGGGAGGGUCAUUGGAAACUGGGGAACUUGAGUGC